RNAcentral lists this ribosomal RNA (592 nucleotides) under uncultured bacterium. RNAcentral describes it as "partial 16S ribosomal RNA". It matches the Rfam family "Bacterial small subunit ribosomal RNA", at positions 1 to 573 of the family's 1533-position model. The record is from RNAcentral.
GGCCGCGAAUUCGCCCUUAGGGUUUGAUCAUGGCUCAGAUUGAACGCUGGCGGCAGGCCUAACACAUGCAAGUCGAGCGGUAACAGGGGAAGCUUGCUUCUCGCUGACGAGCGGCGGACGGGUGAGUAAUGUAUGGGGAUCUGCCCGAUAGAGGGGGAUAACUACUGGAAACGGUAGCUAAUACCGCAUAAUCUCUAAGGAGCAAAGCAGGGGAACUUCGGUCCUUGCGCUAUCGGAUGAACCCAUAUGGGAUUAGCUAGUAGGUGAGGUAACGGCUCACCUAGGCGACGAUCCCUAGCUGGUCUGAGAGGAUGAUCAGCCACACUGGGACUGAGACACGGCCCAGACUCCUACGGGAGGCAGCAGUGGGGAAUAUUGCACAAUGGGCGCAAGCCUGAUGCAGCCAUGCUGCGUGUAUGAAGAAGGCCCUAGGGUUGUAAAGUACUUUCAGUCGGGAGGAAGGCGUUGAUGCUAAUAUCAUCAGUGAUUGACGUUACCGACAGAAGAANCACCGGCUAACUCCGUGCCAGCANCCGCGGUAAUACGGAGGGUGCAAGCGUUAAUCGNAAUUACUGGGCNUAAAGCGCACGCA